CAACGCUGAAAUGCGAUUCCACAUUUUCCUCACUCCACCACCCUUGCCACCAGUCCCCACCUUCUCACCCAAAGAAAAGAAACCAAACCAAACCCUUGGGCUUUGCUUUGAUCUGAGUCUUCAUCACAGAAUGAUUUCUACUCUUUCUGUUUGUUAGUUCGGUUUUGGGAAACUGAAAGUAGCUCAGGGUCUCGGGCUGCCGUCUUCCUGGCCCCCAGGGCUGGCACUGCCCGGACCCUAGUGUAGGGGAUCGCUGCCCUCCCAGAACACUGCUCUGUAGGCUCUGUCCGCUCCCUCCCUGCCGCCCAUCCCCAUAAGUUACCCCUGCCCUUUUCACCCCUCCAGGCCCUUAGGUGCCGAGACCCCUGGGCCCCUGUCCCUGCUCAGACCCCAGAUCCCUGGCGGGAGUUUCCUGUCCCCAUCACUGCACUUUCCAUGACACAAGAGGAAGUCAGCUGAGCCCAGGCUGGGUUUUCCAGGCAGCCCAGCCCAGCAGAGGCUGAAGGUGGGGGAGGGGGUUGCUGAGCCCCCAGGGCCGGCUGUCAGAACCUCCUCAGCCUCCACCGGAGAGGCACCUGCUGGUGCAGCCCUGGGCCACACCAGCUCCAAGCCUCAAAUGUCGUGUGUCUGCUCCUGGGGUACCUGCUGGCCCUGAAUCAAGCCUCUGCAUCCCUGGGACUCCAGGAACUUUGGGAUCCAGAGAAGCAAGCUCUUUUAUCCCAGGACCCAUGACUGCCCAAGCUGUGAGCUUCCUGAGGGCAGGGACCCUGUUCUCUCUCCCAGAGCCAGGGCUCCAUGUUGGAACUGGCCCUGACAGCGUCUGUUAAACCUCCACGAAACGACGUUCCUGAACUUGAAGCCAUAGGACAGGACUCUGAAGAUCACCAAAUCACAUCGUGAGAAAACAAAGCCCUUUUCAGCUCUGCACCGGUCCUUCUCGUGACAGCAAGGAGAACGUGUCGGGCUGGCUGGAGGAUGUCUUUAACACUCACCCCUCUCACCCUCGCCCACCUCCACAUAGAACCAAGAACACGCAGGUCCUAGACUCAGACUCUGGUGGAUGAAUGUGUGUAGCAAAAGUGACCGCAUUGCUUUAUUUUAGAAUUAUCUCCAAUUUAUACCAGGUGAUACUGGUUUUCCACUUGUAAUAGCAAUGUUAUUUUUCUGAAGUUUGUUUUUAAUUUUAAUUCACUUUCAGACAUACAGUAAAAUUGCAAGCAUAAUAGAGUUCCUGUACCUUUCACCCAGGUUCACUUAGUGUUAAUAUCCUUCCCUCUCUCUCUGCCUCUUCCCCUACCUUCCCCACCAAACUACCUACCUACCUACACACACACACACAC
Callithrix jacchus (white-tufted-ear marmoset) is the source of this 1340-nucleotide long non-coding RNA. The record is from Ensembl. Lineage: Eukaryota; Metazoa; Chordata; Mammalia; Primates; Cebidae.